RNAcentral lists this long non-coding RNA (227 nucleotides) under Homo sapiens (human). RNAcentral's name for it is "non-protein coding LINC01625:5". The record is from RNAcentral. Lineage: Eukaryota; Metazoa; Chordata; Mammalia; Primates; Hominidae.
CUGUCCCACUGGCCACACAAAUUACUGACAUGGAUCAUAAGUCAGAUUCUGCCAGAAACGGAGUAGAAAAACUGUGGCUCACCCGGGACCCAGUCUUUCCCCAGGUUCCCCACAGAUGAGCUCUGAAUCUGUUAUAAUUGACUCACCACGACCUGCAUGUACACAUGGAAUUCCUCAUGGCAUCCUUAGAUCUUUUUUGCCACAUCCUUUUGCUCUGACUCGAAGAG